AAUCAACGCUGGCGGCGUGCCUCAGACAUGCAAGUCGAACGAUUAAAGCUCUCUUCGGAGAGUGUAUAGAGUGGCGCACGGGUGAGUAACACGUAAGUAAUCUACCCUCGAGUGGGGAAUAACGUCCGGAAACGGACGCUAAUACCGCAUAAUGCAGCGGCACCGCAAGGUGACAGUUGUUAAAGGAGAAAUUCGCUUGAGGAGGAGCUUGCGGCAGAUUAGCUGUUGGUAAGGUAACGGCUUACCAAGGCUACGAUCUGUAACCGGUCUUAGAGGACGGUCGGUCACACUGACACUGAAUAACGGGUCAGACUCCUACGGGAGGCAGCAGUCGGGAAUUUUGGGCAAUGGGCGAAAGCCUGACCCAGCAACGCCGCGUGAAGGAUGAAGUAUUUCGGUAUGUAAACUUCGAAAGAAUAGGAAGAAUAAAUGACGGUACUAUUUAUAAGGUCCGGCUAACUACGUGCCAGCAGCCGCAGUAAC
RNAcentral lists this ribosomal RNA (483 nucleotides) under uncultured bacterium. RNAcentral describes it as "bacterial SSU rRNA". It matches the Rfam family "Bacterial small subunit ribosomal RNA", at positions 32 to 524 of the family's 1533-position model. The record is from RNAcentral.